RNAcentral lists this long non-coding RNA (495 nucleotides) under Capsella rubella. RNAcentral's name for it is "long non-coding RNA (CRUB_LNC001295)". The record is from RNAcentral. Lineage: Eukaryota; Viridiplantae; Streptophyta; Magnoliopsida; Brassicales; Brassicaceae.
GACAACUCUAGUUAAAAUAUUAGGAAAUUAAGAAGCCUUGUUGAUGUGUAUACAUCGUAUACACAAAUUAUUGACUAAAACAGAGUAAGAACAAUUUAGUGUUUGAAUGAGUUGGUAAAUCUAACCAAAAACGCAUAACUAAAAAAAAAUUCUUAAAGCUUCACGAAAUCAUUUCUUAAAAUAUUUGGGAAGAUAAAUCUCAGCAUCUCCCGUUUAACUUCUUCUAUUGUAUGUUUAGCAUCUCCAUCGUCGUAAUACCGGGUGUUCAUCAGAUCGAAACUACGAGUGGUGCUUGAAGUUAAAUGCUUCUUUUCUUUUCCUUUCGUUACUUCAUUGGGAUGAACCUCAUCUUCCUCAUAAUACGGUUUGUUUAGAUCAAAUUUGUGAGGAUUUGUCUUGCUGAUGGGAUGAACAUCCUGUGAUUUGCUUUCACUUUGUUGCAUUUUAGGUUUCAGAUUUUUGUUCUAUGAAAAAAUUUGAUUGCGUAGAUAUUUA